AGUAGCUCAGCUGGUUAGAGCACAUCACUCAUAAUGAUGGGGUCACAGGUUCAAAUCCCGUCUA
RNAcentral lists this transfer RNA (64 nucleotides) under Pseudoalteromonas sp. S186. Its description in RNAcentral is "tRNA-Met". It matches the Rfam family "tRNA", at positions 6 to 65 of the family's 71-position model. From Rfam's summary of the family: Transfer RNA (tRNA) molecules are approximately 80 nucleotides in length. Their secondary structure includes four short double-helical elements and three loops (D, anti-codon, and T loops). Lineage: Bacteria; Pseudomonadati; Pseudomonadota; Gammaproteobacteria; Alteromonadales; Pseudoalteromonadaceae. The record is from RNAcentral.